AGAGCGGCGGACGGGUGAGUAACACGUGGACAAGUCUGCCCCCGGCCCGGGAUAGCCCAGGGAAACCUGGAUUAAUACCGGAUGAGACGGGACCCGCGAAGGCGGGACCCGGGAAAGGCGCUGCGGCGCCGGCGGGGGAUGGAGUCUGCGUCCCAUUAGCUAGACGGCGGGGUAAACGGCCCACCGUGGCGACGAUGGGUAGCCGGCCUGAGAGGGUGGACGGCCACAUUGGAACUGAGACACGGUCCAGACUCCUACGGGAGGCAGCAGCUAAGAAUCUUCCGCAAUGGGCGAAAGCCUGACGGAGCGACGCCCGCGUGAACGAAGAAGGCCGUGAGGUUGUAAAGUUCUUUUCGGGAGGGGGAACAACCGUGGCAGGGAAUGGCCGCGGGAUGACGUGAAUCCCGGAAUAAGCCCCGGCUAACUACGUGCCAGCAGCCGC
Molecule: ribosomal RNA, 442 nt
Filed under: uncultured bacterium
Lineage: Bacteria
Description: bacterial SSU rRNA
Rfam family: Bacterial small subunit ribosomal RNA
Source: RNAcentral